RNAcentral lists this ribosomal RNA (423 nucleotides) under uncultured bacterium. RNAcentral's name for it is "partial 16S ribosomal RNA". It matches the Rfam family "Bacterial small subunit ribosomal RNA", at positions 359 to 774 of the family's 1533-position model. The record is from RNAcentral.
GAAUAUUGGACAAUGGGCGAAAGCCUGAUCCAGCCAUGCCGCGUGUGUGAAGAAGGUCUUCGGCUUUUAAAGCACUUUAAGUUGGGAGGAAGGGCAGUAAGCGAAUACCUUGCUGUUUUUACGUUCCCGACCGAGUAAGCCCCGGCUAACUCUGUGCCAGCAGCCGCGCUAAUACAGAGGGUGCCAGCGCUAAUCGGAAUUACUUGGCGUAAAGCGCGCGUAGGUGGUUCGUUAAGUUGGAUGUGAAAUCCCCGGGCUCAACCUGGGAACUGCAUCCAAAACUGGCGAGCUAGAGUAGGGCAGAGGGUGGUGGAAUUUCCUGUGUAGCGGUGAAAGGCGUAGAUAUAGGAAGGAACACCAGUGGCGAAGGCGACCACCUGGGCUCAUACUGACACUGAGGUGCGAAAGCGUGGGGAGCAAACA